ACGAUGAAGAGUUUGAUCCUGGCUCAGGAUGAACGCUAGCGGCAGGCUUAACACAUGCAAGUCGAGGGGUAGCAGUAAUUGCUUGCAAUUAGCUGACGACCGGCGCACGGGUGCGUAACGCGUAUAGAACCUACCAUAAACUGGGGAAUACCCUUUGGAAACGAAGAAUAAUACCCCAUAGAGAUAAGGAUCGGCAUCGAUUUUUAUUUAAAGAUUUAUUGGUUUAUGAUGGCUAUGCGUUCUAUUAGUUAGUUGGUAAGGUAACGGCUUACCAAGACGUCGAUAGAUAGGGGUCCUGAGAGGGAGAUCCCCCACACUGGUACUGAGACACGGACCAGACUCCUACGGGAGGCAGCAGUGAGGAAUAUUGGUCAAUGGAGGCAACUCUGAACCAGCCAUGCCGCGUGAAGGAUGACUGCCCUAUGGGUUGUAAACUUCUUUUAUAGAGGAAGAAAUGUAGGUAUGUAUACUUAUUUGACGGUACUCUACGAAUAAGGACCGGCUAACUCCGUGCCAGCAGCCGCGGUAAUACGGAGGGUCCAAGCGUUAUCCGGAAUCAUUGGGUUUAAAGGGUUCGUAGGCGGGCUAAUUAGUCAGAGGUGAAAUCCAGCAGCUUAACUGUUGAACUGCCUUUGAUACUGUUAGUCUUGAGUUAUAUGGAAGUAGAUAGAAUAUGUAGUGUAGCGGUGAAAUGCAUAGAUAUUACAUAGAAUACCGAUUGCGAAGGCAGUCUACUACGUAUAUACUGACGCUGAUGAACGAAAGCGUGGGGAGCGAACGGGAUUAGAUACCCCGGUAGUCCACGCCGUAAACGUUGGACACUAGUUGUUGGGCAUUAGCUCAGUGACUAAGCGAAAGUGAUAAGUGUCCCACCUGGGGAGUACGGUCGCAAGAUUGAAACUCAAAGGAAUUGACGGGGGCCCGCACAAGCGGUGGAGCAUGUGGUUUAAUUCGAUGAUACGCGAGGAACCUUACCAGGGCUUAAAUGUAGGAUGCAUUAGACAGAGAUGUUUAUUUCUUCGGACUUCUUACAAGGUGCUGCAUGGUUGUCGUCAGCUCGUGCCGUGAGGUGUCAGGUUAAGUCCUAUAACGAGCGCAACCCCUAUUUUUAGUUGCUAACAG
RNAcentral lists this ribosomal RNA (1122 nucleotides) under Wenyingzhuangia sp. 2_MG-2023. Its description in RNAcentral is "bacterial SSU rRNA". It matches the Rfam family "Bacterial small subunit ribosomal RNA", at positions 1 to 1124 of the family's 1533-position model. Lineage: Bacteria; Pseudomonadati; Bacteroidota; Flavobacteriia; Flavobacteriales; Flavobacteriaceae. The record is from RNAcentral.